GUCCUCUUGAUUUAUAUAUGAGGUCUGACCUGCCCAGUGAAAAUUAUUUUAACGGCCGCGGUAUUUUGACCGUGCAAAGGUAGCAUAAUCAUUAGUCUUUUAAUAGGAGGCUGGAAUGAAGGGUUUGACGAGGUAUUGACUGUCUCAUUUAAUUUGAAAUUAAAAUUUAACUUUUCAGUUAAAAGGCUGAAAUUGUAUUGGAAGACGAGAAGACCCUAUAGAGCUUUAUAUUUAAAAUUAAUAAUAAAUUUUUGUUUAUUAUUAUUUCUUAUUAUUUUAAUUAUUUUGUUGGGGUGACAAAAAUAUAUAAAUAACUUUUUUAUUUAAAUAACAUUGAUUUAUGAUUAUUAGAUCCAGUCUUAUUGAUUGUUAGAUUAAGUUACCUUAGGGAUAACAGCGUAAUCUUCCUUCAGAGUUCAUAUUUACAGGAAGGAUUGCGACCUCGAUGUUGGAUUAAGAUAAUAAUUAGGUGUAGCCGCUUAAUAUAUAGGUCUGUUCGACCUUUAAAUUCUU
Molecule: ribosomal RNA, 513 nt
Filed under: Trigomphus ogumai
Lineage: Eukaryota; Metazoa; Arthropoda; Insecta; Odonata; Gomphidae
Description: partial 16S rRNA
Rfam family: Bacterial large subunit ribosomal RNA
Source: RNAcentral